Molecule: signal recognition particle RNA, 99 nt
Filed under: bacterium
Lineage: Bacteria
Description: signal recognition particle sRNA small type
Rfam family: Bacterial small signal recognition particle RNA
About the family: The signal recognition particle (SRP) is a universally conserved ribonucleoprotein involved in the co-translational targeting of proteins to membranes.
Source: RNAcentral
UGCCGGGAACCGCGCGGCGGGCGGGCGGUGAACUCCGUCAGGGGGGGAACUCAGCAGCGGUAAGCCGUUCCGACGUGCGACGCGAUCUUCCCGGCAUUU